CUUUUUAAUGCUUUUCCCACUAAAUACAAUUAACCUGCUGCAAGUUUCCACGACAUUUAUUUCACAGAACAACAAAUCGGAAUCUCCUGUAAAACAGGCAUCUGUGAAGCCCCCUCAGCCAUUUUGUGUGCUAGCCUGAAACAAAGCGCGUGAUUGGCCAACUGGCAGACAACUCAAUGUUAAACGUGCUUUGAUUGGACUAAAAAAUACCCGAAAUUUUUCUGGUUUUUCUCUAAUUUAAUAAAAAUGUGCAAGUCUUCUUCAUAUCGAGUUUCAGGGGUGAUUUAUAUAAAUAUUGUUACACAAUAUGUGAAAAUUUCAUGUAGUUUGGUGACUUGGGUCACAAAAUCCUAUUUCUAGACACAUUUUUGAUGCUCGGCCCACAGCCUAACUUUAAGAUGUUUGCCUUCCACCACAGUGAGGAGGUGCCUGGUGAACUUACUGUGGUGGAUGUUAAAUUUAUGUUUAUUGUGUGUUUUUGUCAUUUUUAUUAUAUGUAUGACUGCAAGGCAAUGAAAUUUCGUUCAGACCGAAAGGUCUGAAUGACAAUAAAGGCUACUUUACUUUACUUUUAAAAAAAAACUGGCAUCUUGUUGAUGGCAAUGGUCUUGGAGGGGUCAGGUCUGAGGUCAUCACUGGUAAAUACGUGUCCGACAUACUGGACCUCGUUGACGCGGAAUCUGCACUUUAGAGGGUUGAGCUUGAGGUAGAUGUCUUUUGCGCGGUCCAGUAUUUUUUUUUAAUUGGCAUUAUGUUCAGCCAUGUCACGUCCAGCAACGAAAAUGUUGUUGACAAUGAUGGCACAAGAAUAUCCCAUAAAUAAUUGUUCCAUUGUACGCUGGAAUACCUCGCUAACAGAGUUGAUGCCAAAGGGCAUCCGCAGAAAUUUGUAGCGGCCGAAGGGGGUGCCUAACGUGGUGAGAUUGGACGAGUUGGGGUCCAGGGGGAUCUGCCAGAACAAAAUAUUGGCAUCCUGAACAGAAAACACAGAGGCACCGCCUAGCUGAGCAGCAACUUCUUCCACCAUGUUAGUGCGGGCAUUUGAUCGCUGUGUUCAGGUCUCUGGGGUUGAUACAAAUUUGGAUUUCUUCUUUGUUUUUCUUUGUUGCAACCACCAUGGUGGAAACCCAGUCGGAUGGGUCGGUAACCGCGCCAAUGACACCCAGGGACACCGUGCGCUGGAGCUCAUUGUGCACUCUGUCACGCAUGGCAUGUGGAAUGCGGUGUGGUGCUCGUACUACAGGCGGAGCUUAUAAUAAUAAAGCACUACAUUCGUUAUUAAGUAAAGUAACCAAUCUACAUCUGGUAAAAUGCACAUGAACAAGCCAUCUUCACUUAUCUGUCUCAGAUCCUCUUGCAUUUAUUUUCCUUGGGUUUGAAAUGCUGGCACCAACUUGAACAGCUGCAGUCAAGCUUGUGUGGUCCUGAGAUUCUGAGAGCGAUGCCAUCUGGAGUUAUGUUCCUGGUAGGGCCACCCAUGGCGGUACGGUCGAGGGGAGGCCCCUGACAAAGAGCAAUCCAACCAAGACCUCAACGGUGGAACAGGCGGAGGAUGAUGGCUAACUUUAGUGGAGCAUCACAAUGGCUGGGAAGGCAGAUAAAGGCUGCAGCAGAAAAGGAUCCCCUGGUCAUCUUGGACAUCAUGCCACUGGAUCCUGACCGAGAUCUGUCAAGAACCAUGUGGUGGCUGCCUGUGCACCAGCCUCCCCACGUUAAACAAAGUCACGCACAGGCAUCCUCCCAAAAGAGGACAGUCAUACUCGUUACGAGUGACCGCCUAUAAUGAUGAUAUCCUACCUUCCACCAAUUCUGGUUCACUGCUGCCCUGAACUAAUGUACGUUGGAUCGUUAUCCACCGAUGCCUCAUUUUCAAACAACUAUCUUUACAUCUUACUGUCCCUUAAGUAUCUACCUCUCCCACUUCCACCCUCUCUUUCCCACCUUACCAUUCAUACAGUGUGGAAAUAGGCCCUUCAGCCCAACUUGCUCAUGCCCACCAACAAUCUCACCCAACUCUCCCAGGUGUGUGACUUCAACUUGUUUAACCCUUAUCAGUCAGCCCACCCAGCAUAGGCGGUGAGUGCAGUUGUUAGGCUGAACCCAAUGCAAUCUGGCCCAUCUUCUUUACAAGUUACAGACCAUUGUAUUUAUUAAUAAUUAAGUGUUAAAAGUGAAAGCUUACAUAUUUUCAGGAGUUUAGUUUCGAGAAAUAGCGUGUAAACAGGCUCUUUGGCUAACCGGGUCUAAGCCGACCAGCGAUCCCCGCACAUUAACACUAUCCUUCACACACUAGGGACAAUUUUUAUAUUUACUAAGCCAAUUAACCUACAAACCUCUACGUCUUUGGAGUGUGGGAGGAAACCAAAGAUCUCGGAGAAAACCCCACGCAGGUCACGGAGAGAAUGUACAAUCUCCGUGCAGACAGCACGCGCAGUCGGGAUUGAACCCGGGUCUCCGGCGCUGCAUUCGCUGUAAGGCAGCAACUCUGCCGCUGUGCCACUGAGUUCUUGGGCAUAAUAUAUUUCUGAGGCUGCAGGAACUGGAACAACAUGUUCAGAUUUAUAUGUUACAUUUCUAAAAACCAACAGUAGAUGGCAGCAAUUAUUUUGCUCUUCAAUUAUUUCAUUAGUUAUUUCUGUUAUUAUUCAGUGGCUGUCAUUUUCAUGAGUUUGCAAAACAGAAGUGAAAUAUUACUAUGGAUUCACAGCGCUAUAACAUGCUGAACUUUACAAGCAUUACCAGCAGUAGGAGAAUAAAAUAGCAAACUAACACGCCUAUUCAUUAGAGGAACAAGGAACUGCAGAUUCUUGUUUACAAAAUAAAAAGAUAUAGUGCUGCAGUAACUCAGUGGGUCAGGCAGUAUCUCUGGAGAGCAUGAAGAAAUGACAUUUUGUGUCGAGAGCCUUCCUCAGAUUGAUUGUGGUGGGGUGAGGAGAGAAAGCUGGAUGAGAGGAGGUGAAGGCCUGGGGAGUGAUAGGUAUGUACAGGUGAGUUUUUUUUUUGAAAG
This is a long non-coding RNA of Leucoraja erinaceus (little skate), 3007 nucleotides long. RefSeq lists it as uncharacterized. The record is from RefSeq and is a predicted model, not a curated record. NCBI's taxonomy places the organism in Eukaryota, Metazoa, Chordata, Chondrichthyes, Rajiformes, Rajidae. The transcript has 4 exons.